Molecule: long non-coding RNA, 167 nt
Filed under: Ixodes scapularis (black-legged tick)
Lineage: Eukaryota; Metazoa; Arthropoda; Arachnida; Ixodida; Ixodidae
Description: uncharacterized LOC121833241, transcript variant X2
Source: RNAcentral
ACUAAAACCCCAGUUUGAAAAAAAUAGGUAGCAGCUCGAAACGUCGAUAAAUGUUUGAUGAUUUAACCAUUUCAACAAGUCGAUUUACAGAGUCAACCUCGCUUGUGUUUUUUAUGAAGAUACGGUUAGCAUCUCGAAAUGUCGAGCAACGUUUGAUGAUUUAACCA